UGGGGAAUCUUGCGCAAUGGGCGAAAGCCUGACGCAGCCAUGCCGCGUGAAUGAUGAAGGUCUUAGGAUUGUAAAAUUCUUUCACCGGGGACGAUAAUGGCGGUACCCGGAGAAGAAGCCCCGGCUAACUUCGUGCCAGCAGCCGCGGUAAUACGAAGGGGGCUAGCGUUGCUCGGAAUUACUGGGCGUAAAGGGAGCGUAGGCGGACAUUUAAGUCAGGGGUGAAAUCCCGGGGCUCAACCUCGGAAUUGCCUUUGAUACUGGGUGUCUUGAGUGUGAGAGAGGUAUGUGGAACUCCGAGUGUAGAGGUGAAAUUCGUAGAUAUUCGGAAGAACACCAGUGGCGAAGGCGACAUGCUGGCUCAUUACUGACGCUGAGGCUCGAAAGCGUGGGGAGCAAACAGGAUUAGAUACCCUGGUAGUCCACGCCGUAAACGAUGAUUGCUAGUUGUCGGGAUGCAUGCAUUUCGGUGACGCAGCUAACGCAUUAAGCAAUCCGCCUGGGGAGUACGGUCGCAAGAUUAAAACUCAAAGGAAUUGACGGGGUCAUAGCUGUUUCCUG
This 561-nucleotide ribosomal RNA is filed under the name uncultured bacterium. RNAcentral's name for it is "partial 16S ribosomal RNA". It matches the Rfam family "Bacterial small subunit ribosomal RNA", at positions 355 to 1376 of the family's 1533-position model. The record is from RNAcentral.